This is a long non-coding RNA of Neltuma alba, 555 nucleotides long. RefSeq lists it as uncharacterized. The transcript is spliced from 4 exons. The record is from RefSeq and is a predicted model, not a curated record. NCBI's taxonomy places the organism in Eukaryota, Viridiplantae, Streptophyta, Magnoliopsida, Fabales, Fabaceae.
UUGUGCAUUCUAUAUCUGCGAAGCCAAGCAAUCGUGCAAGUUACAGAGAAGUCCACUCUAUUCUUGCUCCUCACCCUAGGGUGAACUUGGCAAAUAUGGGAACAGAGUCAUUGUGGAGAUACUGCAGGCAUUUUAAACUUUUGAGCAGUAAUUCGAGUCCAUCCAGGGAACAAAUGGUAAAAGCCGUGCAGCGUCAUUUUGCUUUGCAGCUUAAAGUGGACGAGGUACCAGUAAUCAAAGAGUUGCUUCGCGGAGCCAAGAGGCCCAAGACUGUGGAAUGUUGAUCACCCACCACCUGCUGAGUUCCAACUCUGGACGAUGACUUGCGAUUGUAAUUAAUUAAUAUGAUAUACAUAUAUUAGCUCUAACCUUAGACCUUAGUUACUAAUUUCAAACUCCACAGAGAUUGGUAGGCGGGCUGGCUGGUCUGAGUCAGCCUUCAACACCAAAUCUGACCUUUGUAAUAUCGGGUUGAUUCCCUAGUUCAUAUGAUAUUGCCUAGUGUUUUAUAUCUAUCUACCCGGCUGCGUUCCUGUGGCGCCGCCAUUCUCUCUC